UGGCGGACGGGUGAGUAACGCGUGGGUAACCUGCCUUGUACUGGGGGACAACAGUUGGAAACGACUGCUAAUACCGCAUAAGCGCACAGCUUCGCAUGAAGCAGUGUGAAAAACUCCGGUGGUACAAGAUGGACCCGCGUCUGAUUAGCUAGUUGGUAAGGUAACGGCUUACCAAGGCGACGAUCAGUAGCCGACCUGAGAGGGUGACCGGCCACAUUGGGACUGAGACACGGCCCAA
This 238-nucleotide ribosomal RNA is filed under the name uncultured bacterium. RNAcentral describes it as "partial 16S ribosomal RNA". It matches the Rfam family "Bacterial small subunit ribosomal RNA", at positions 96 to 334 of the family's 1533-position model. The record is from RNAcentral.